RNAcentral lists this transfer RNA (72 nucleotides) under Candidatus Woesearchaeota archaeon CG10_big_fil_rev_8_21_14_0_10_47_5. RNAcentral's name for it is "tRNA-Tyr". It matches the Rfam family "tRNA". Rfam says of the family: Transfer RNA (tRNA) molecules are approximately 80 nucleotides in length. Their secondary structure includes four short double-helical elements and three loops (D, anti-codon, and T loops). Lineage: Archaea; Nanobdellati; Candidatus Woesearchaeota. The record is from RNAcentral. RNAcentral also lists the same sequence under 1 other name.
CCCCGCUUAGCUCAACGGCAGAGCGUUCGGCUGUAGCCCGAAAGGUUCGCGGUUCAAAUCCGCGAGCGGGGA